RNAcentral lists this ribosomal RNA (253 nucleotides) under uncultured bacterium. Its description in RNAcentral is "partial 16S ribosomal RNA". It matches the Rfam family "Bacterial small subunit ribosomal RNA", at positions 524 to 776 of the family's 1533-position model. The record is from RNAcentral.
GACGAACCGUGCGAACGUUGUUCGGAAUCACUGGGCUUAAAGGGCGCGUAGGCGGCUCGCCAAGUCCGGGGUGAAAGCCUCCAGCUUAACUGGAGAAGUGCCUUGGAAACUGGCGGGCUCGAGCGAGAUAGGGGUCGUGGGAACUUCCGGUGGAGCGGUGAAAUGCGUUGAUAUCGGAAGGAACGCCGGUGGCGAAAGCGCACGACUGGAUCUCUUCUGACGCUGAGGCGCGAAAGCCAGGGGAGCAAACGGG